UACGUAGGGUGCAAGCGUUGUCCGGAAUUAUUGGGCGUAAAGAGCUCGUAGGCGGUCUGUCGCGUCUGCUGUGAAAACCUAGGGCUUAACUCUGGGCGUGCAGUGGGUACGGGCAGGCUAGAGUGCGGUAGGGGAGACUGGAAUUCCUGGUGUAGCGGUGAAAUGCGCAGAUAUCAGGAGGAACACCGGUGGCGAAGGCGGGUCUCUGGGCAUUAACUGACGCUGAGGAGCGAAAGCAUGGGGAGCGAACAGG
RNAcentral lists this ribosomal RNA (253 nucleotides) under uncultured bacterium. Its description in RNAcentral is "partial 16S ribosomal RNA". It matches the Rfam family "Bacterial small subunit ribosomal RNA", at positions 524 to 776 of the family's 1533-position model. The record is from RNAcentral.